CAGCCAAGUGUAACAGAGACAGCCUGCCACAACCCACCUUUACACACACACACACAGUCACCACACACAUGCACAUUUCCAGAAUGAUCCAGCUUUGUUGCACUGCUUGGCAAAAAUACUCUGUUCCUGCUCCCCUGUCUCUCGUCCACAUUGAUACAAAUCAUAGAUUGAUAAGGUACUAAGAUGUAGAAUGUCUCCAUCAAAUCCAAUACCACAGUGUCAUCUUUGGUAGGAUAGAUGGAUUUUCAAGGAAGAGUGGGAGCUGAUCAAGGGGUCUAAAAUGUAGAUAUUGCCAGAUGUAUGUUCACUGUCCGAGGAACAGGCCGUGGAAGCUGCGUGAAGUGUCCAGAACCAGAGCAUUCCAGAUUCAGUAUGUGGAGGACCUGCUUUAUCAGGAGAAUCAUCUGGAAUCUAGAAAAACUGACAAUGGGGUCACUGUUCCUGACCUCCCAUAUGCCCCCUGUCUACUGAGAAUAUUGCUGUGCUGCAACGUCAAGUGAACCCAACAUAUACAGCUCUGGAAAAAAUGAAGAGACCACUGCAAAAUGAUCCGUUUCUCUGGUUUUACUAUUUAUAGCUCUGUGUUUGGGUCCAAAUUUCACAGUGGGUGCGAGACACUGUGGCUUGUAGGCCUCUCCAGGUCUCGCACCCACUGUGACAUUCGGUUGUCCUGGAAGAAAACGUGCUUCCUUCUGCGCUGACAAUGUUUCCCAACUCUGAGGAUUGUUUUUUCCAGCAGGACAAUGCUUCAUGCCACACAGCCAGGUCAAUCAAGGUGUGGAUGGAGGACCACCAGAUCAAGACCCUGAACCAGCCCAAUCUCCAGACCUGAACCCCAUUGAAAACCUCUGGAAUGUGAUCAAGAGGAAGAUGGAUGGUCACAAGCCAUCAAACAAAGUCGAGCUGCUUGGAUCUUUGCGCCAGGAGUGGCAUAAAGUCACCCAACAUCAAUGUGAAAGAGCAGGCCAAGACGUAUGAAAGCUGUGAUUGAAAAUUAGGGUUAUUCCACCAAAUAUUGAUUUCUGAACUCUUCCUAAGUUAAAACAUUAGUAUUGUGUUGUUUAAAAUGAAUAUGAACUUAUUUCCUUUGCAUUAUUCAAGGUCUGACAACACUGCAUCUUUUUUUAUAUUUUGACCAAUUGUCAGUUUCUGCAAAUAAAUUCUCUAAAUGACAAUAUUUUUACUUGGAAUUUGGGAGAAAUGUCAGUAGUUUAUAGAAUAAAACAAACAUUUUAAUUUUACCCAAACACAUACCAAUAAAGAGUAACUCAUACCUAUAAAUUUACAUGCAUGCUCUUCAGUUAGUUACAGUGCCUUGCGAAAGUAUUCGGCCCCCUUGAACUUUGCGACCUUUUGCCACAUUUCAGGCUUCAAACAUAAAGAUAUAAAACUGUAUUUUUUUGUGAAGAAUCAACAACAAGUGGGACACAAUCAUGAAGUGGAACGACAUUUAUUGGAUAUUUCAAACUUUUAACAAAUCAAAAACUGAAAAAUUGGGCGUGCAAAAUUAUUCAGCCCCCUUAAGUUAAUACUUUGUAGCGCCACCUUUUGCUGCGAUUACAGCUGUAAGUCGCUUGAGGUAUGUCUCUAUCAGUUUUGCACAUCGAGAGACUGAAAUGUUUUCCCAUUCCUCCUUGCAAAACAGCUCAAGCUCAGUGAGGUUGGAUGGAGAGCAUUUGUGAACAGCAGUUUUCAGUUCUUUCCACAGAUUCUUGAUUGGAUUCAGGUCUGGACUUUGACUUGGCCAUUCUAACACCUGGAUAUGUUUAUUUUUGAACCAUUCCAUUGUAGAUUUUGCUUUAUGUUUUGGAUCAUUGUCUUGUUGGAAGACAAAUCUCCGUCCCAGUCUCAGGUCUUUUGCAGACUCCAUCAGGUUUUCUUCCAGAAUGGUCCUGUAUUUGGCUCCAUCCAUCUUCCCAUCAAUUUUAACCAUCUUCCCUGUCCCUGCUGAAGAAAAGCAGGCCCAAACCAUGAUGCUGCCACUACCAUGUUUGACAGUGGGUAUGGUGUGUUCAGGGUGAUGAGCUGUGUUGCUUUUACGCCAAACAUAACAUUUUGCAUUGUUGCUAAAACGUUUUGGUUUCAUCUGACCAGAGCACCUUCUUCCACAUGUUUGGUGUGUCUCCCAGGUGGCUUGUGGCAAACUUUAAACUACACUUUUUAUGGAUAUCUUUAAGAAAUGUCUUUCUUCUUGCCACUCUUCCAUAAAGGCCAGAUUUGUGCAAUAUACGACUGAUUGUUGUCCUAUGGACAGAGUCUCCCACCUCAGCUGUAGAUCUCUGCAGUUCAUCCAGAGUGAUCAUGGGCCUCUUGGCUGCAUCUGUGAUCAGUCUUCUCCUUGUAUGAGCUGAAAGUUUAGAGGGACGGCCAGGUCUUGGUAGAUUUGCAGUGGUCUGAUACUCCUUCCAUUUCAAUAUUAUCGCUUGCACAGUGCUCCUUGGGAUGUUUAAAACUUGGGAAAUCUUUUUGUAUCCAAAUCCGGCUUUAAACUUCUUCACAACAGUAUCUCGGACCUGCCUGGUGUGUUCCUUGUUCUUCAUGAUGCUCUCUGCGCUUUUAACGGACCUCUGAGACUAUCACAGUGCAGGUGCAUUUAUACGGAGACUUGAUUACACACAGGUGGAUUGUAUUUAUCAUCAUUAGUCAUUUAGGUCAACAUUGGAUCAUUCAGAGAUCCUCACUGAACUUCUGGAGAGUGUUUGCUGCACUGAAAGUAAAGGGGCUGAAUAAUUUUGCACGCCCAAUUUUUCAGUUUUUGAUUUGUUAAAAAAGUUUGAAAUAUCCAAUAAAUGUCAUUCCACUUCAUGAUUGUGUCCCACUUGUUGUUGAUUCUUCACAAAAAAAUACAGUUUUAUAUAUUUAUGUUUGAAGCCUGAAAUGUGGCAAAAGGUCGCAAAAUUCAAGGGGGCCGCAUACUUUCGCAAUGCACUGUAUGUGUUAUUUCAUAGUUUUGAUGUCUUCACUCUUAUUCUACAAUGUUGAAAAUAGUAAAAAUAAAGAAAAACCCUUGAAUGAG
Molecule: long non-coding RNA, 3016 nt
Organism: Oncorhynchus masou masou (cherry salmon)
Lineage: Eukaryota; Metazoa; Chordata; Actinopteri; Salmoniformes; Salmonidae
Exons: 4
Source: RefSeq, a predicted model, not a curated record